Puntigrus tetrazona (Sumatra barb) is the source of this 434-nucleotide long non-coding RNA. RefSeq lists it as uncharacterized. The record is from RefSeq and is a predicted model, not a curated record. The transcript has 4 exons. Lineage: Eukaryota; Metazoa; Chordata; Actinopteri; Cypriniformes; Cyprinidae.
CUCCAACGUCCAUCGCUCUUUUAUCCUGCUCAACUAUGGGAACAUUUCAGAAACAGAACAAAUUUGGCAGGCUGGAUACAGCACAGAGGAUUCUGUCAGUUCUUUCACAAGUCCAGCAACCAGUGCCCCACAGCUCUCUUCUAGCAGCAAUAUCAAUGUGAAUGGCCGCUGCUCGUUCCAUGUUGACGGCUCACCAAACUUGCCAACUAAUCUCCUGCCUUCUGGGAAUAAAGACAUAGUGAACCCCCCUGCUGAAGAUGGAAGCUCUGGUGUCAUUUACUUGCAGCAGCCUUUCAAAUACUUUGGACGCACAUACAAUCAGAUCUUUGUGAACAACAAUGGCUAUCUAACGUUUACUGAGGCACUGACUGCCUCCAGACCCUUUCUGGAUUCUGCAAGAGACAUCAUUGCUCCUCUUUGGACUCGCCUUGACA